This 780-nucleotide ribosomal RNA is filed under the name uncultured bacterium. RNAcentral describes it as "bacterial SSU rRNA". It matches the Rfam family "Bacterial small subunit ribosomal RNA", at positions 8 to 796 of the family's 1533-position model. The record is from RNAcentral.
AGAGUUUGAUCAUGGCUCAGAAUCAACGCUGGCGGCGUGCCUAACACAUGCAAGUCGAGCGAGAAAGGGUAGCAAUACCUGAGUAAAGCGGCGCACGGGUGAGUAACACGUGGGUAAUCUGCCCUAGAGUGGGGAAUAACACCGGGAAACCGGUGCUAAUACCGCAUACGAUCGCGAUGUCUUCGGAUGUUGCGAUGAAAGGAGCAAUUCGCUCUUGGAGGAGCCCGCGGCUGAUUAGCUAGUUGGUGAGGUAAUGGCUCACCAAGGCUACGAUCAGUAGCCGGUCUGAGAGGACGGUCGGCCACACUGGAACUGAGACACGGUCCAGACUCCUACGGGAGGCAGCAGUGGGGAAUUUUUCGCAAUGGGGGCAACCCUGACGAAGCAACGCCGCGUGGGUGAUGAAGUAUCUCGGUACGUAAAACCCUUUCGACGGGGAAGAAACCGCAAGGUUGACGGUACCCGUAGAAGAAGCCCCGGCUAACUCCGUGCCAGCAGCCGCGGUAAUACGGGGGGGGCAAGCGUUGUUCGGAAUUACUGGGCGUAAAGGGCGCGUAGGCGGUUCGCUAAGUUGAAUGUGAAAACUCUGGGCUUAACCCAGAGCCUGCAUUCAAUACUGGCGGGCUAGAGUUCUGGAGGGGAUAGCGGAAUUCCUGGUGUAGCGGUGAAAUGCGUAGAUAUCAGGAGGAACACCGGUGGCGAAGGCGGCUAUCUGGACAGAGUCUGACGCUGAGGCGCGAAAGCUAGGGGAGCAAACAGGAUUAGAUACCCUAGUAGUCC